AGUGACACAGAAGAUCUUAUAGGGUUCUCAAGUGCAAACCUUUCUUCUAGGGUUCUUGGCCAAAGCAUGGAAGGAGAGUGUAGAAGAAGAAGAGACAGAUCGAAGAGUGGCUCGUUGCUGACAACAAGACCAAAACCCUCUUCGAGCUCCAAACAAGGUCAAAUCUCGGUACGCUCUCGUUCUUCUCGUGAUGAAGAUGACACUCACAGAGUUCGUUCAUCUGGUAAGUAAUCGCUUUGUUCGUUGAUAUUACUGGUAAUCCCUAGAACCCUAAAUUUCUAAAAUCGGAAAGCCAUAAUCCCUUUUUUCUUUCUUUCAUUGGAACAUAACGCUCUGUGGUGUGGUUUGCAAGACGUUGUUGCCUUGUUACUAGAUUUCGAUUGAGGCACGGUGUUGCAGUUUAGAAAGAUGUGAAGUAUGAUCGUGGAUCCUUUACGACUUUUCAUUAUGGUUCAAGUACCUUACCUAAUCAAGUUUAGAAAUUCUUAAUUGAUUUCUCUGUUCAUUAACAGAAACGUUUAUGUAUAACAUACAGUAGCUAGUUAUUAGGGUGGAGUGAAACCAGCAGCAACUGGCAUAGAGCAUUAUGCAUAUUUCAACUGGCCAAGAUUAGAGUUAUUCACUGGACAAGAUUUCAAUUUGGAUCCCAAACUAAUGAUUCAUUACAGCAUCCUUUCCACUUGUUCUGUAAAGUAAAAUCUUUUGGCAAAGCUACAUUNN
This 720-nucleotide long non-coding RNA is filed under the name Vigna radiata. RNAcentral describes it as "long non-coding RNA (VRAD_LNC009656)". Lineage: Eukaryota; Viridiplantae; Streptophyta; Magnoliopsida; Fabales; Fabaceae. The record is from RNAcentral.